AAGGUCCCAAGGGUCGGGCUGUUCGCCCGUUAAAGCGGUACGCGAGCUGGGUUCAGACCGUCGUGAGACAGGUCGGUCUCUAUCCGCUGUGGGCGUAAGGGAUUUGAGAGGAGCUGCCCCUAGUACGAGAGGACCGGGGUGGACAGACCUCUGGUGUGCCAGCUGUCGUGCCAACGGCAUCGCUGGGUAGCUAUGUCUGGCAGAGAUAACCGCUGAAAGCAUCUAAGUGGGAAACUCGCCUCAAGAUGAGAUCCCUCACGACGUCAAGUCGGUAAGACCGCAGGAAGACUACCUGCUUGAUAGGCGGCAAGUGUAAGCACAGUAAUGUGUUGAGCUAAGCCGUACUAAUGGUCGAGGGCUUUCCC
Molecule: ribosomal RNA, 365 nt
Filed under: Chloroflexota bacterium
Lineage: Bacteria; Bacillati; Chloroflexota
Description: Chloroflexi bacterium (sediment metagenome) partial 23S ribosomal RNA
Rfam family: Bacterial large subunit ribosomal RNA
Source: RNAcentral